This 305-nucleotide ribosomal RNA is filed under the name uncultured bacterium. RNAcentral's name for it is "bacterial SSU rRNA". It matches the Rfam family "Bacterial small subunit ribosomal RNA", at positions 334 to 653 of the family's 1533-position model. The record is from RNAcentral.
UACGUCCUACGGGGGGCAGCAGUGGGGAAUAUUGGGCAAUGGGCGCAAGCCUGACCCAGCAACGCCGCGUGAAGGAAGAAGGCUUUCGGGUUGUAAACUUCUUUUGACAGGGAAGAGUAGAAGACGGUACCUGUCGAAUAAGCCACGGCUAACUACGUGCCAGCAGCCGCGGUAAUACGUAGGUGGCAAGCGUUGUCCGGAUUUACUGGGUGUAAAGGGCGUGUAGCCGGGUUGACAAGUCAGAUGUGAAAUCCUGCGGCCUAACCGCAGCACUGCAUUUGAACCUGUGGAUCUUGAGUACUGGG